GGUAACAGGUCUUCGGACGCUGACGAGUGGCGAACGGGUGAGUAAUGCAUCGGAACGUGCCCAGUCGUGGGGGAUAACUGCUCGAAAGAGCAGCUAAUACCGCAUACGACCUGAGGGUGAAAGCGGGGGACCGUAAGGCCUCGCGCGAUUGGAGCGGCCGAUGUCAGAUUAGCUAGUUGGUGGGGUAAAGGCCUACCAAGGCAACGAUCUGUAGUUGGUCUGAGAGGACGACCAGCCACACUGGGACUGAGACACGGCCCAGACUCCUACGGGAGGCAGCAGUGGGGAAUUUUGGACAAUGGGCGCAAGCCUGAUCCAGCAAUGCCGCGUGCAGGAAGAAGGCCUUCGGGUUGUAAACUGCUUUUGUCAGGGAAGAAAUCUUCUGGGCUAAUACCCCGGGAGGAUGACGGUACCUGAAGAAUAAGCACCGGCUAACUACGUGCCAGCAGCCGCGGUAAUACGUAGGGUGCGAGCGUUAAUCGGAAUUACUGGGCGUAAAGCGUGCGCAGGCGGUUAUGUAAGACAGAUGUGAAAUCCCCGGGCUCAACCUGGGAACUGCAUUUGUGACUGCAUGACUGGAGUGCGGCAGAGGGGGAUGGAAUUCCGCGUGUAGCAGUGAAAUGCGUAGAUAUGCGGAGGAACACCGAUGGCGAAGGCAAUCCCCUGGGCCUGCACUGACGCUCAUGCACGAAAG
RNAcentral lists this ribosomal RNA (694 nucleotides) under uncultured bacterium. RNAcentral's name for it is "bacterial SSU rRNA". It matches the Rfam family "Bacterial small subunit ribosomal RNA", at positions 68 to 759 of the family's 1533-position model. The record is from RNAcentral.